RNAcentral lists this ribosomal RNA (320 nucleotides) under uncultured eukaryote. RNAcentral describes it as "partial 18S ribosomal RNA". It matches the Rfam family "Eukaryotic small subunit ribosomal RNA", at positions 1470 to 1796 of the family's 1831-position model. The record is from RNAcentral.
CCCCUAGAUGUUCUGGGCCGCACGCGCGCUACACUGAACAGUUCUACAAGUCUUAACCUUGGCCGAUAGGUCUGGGUAAUCUUUGAACGCUGUUCGUGAUUGGGAUAGACCUUUGCAAUUAUGGGUCUUCAACGAGGAAUUCCUAGUAAACGCAAGUCAUCAGCUUGCAUUGAUUACGUCCCUGCCCUUUGUACACACCGCCCGUCGCACCUACCGAUUGAAUGGUCCGGUGAAAUCUCGGGACGGCGGCUUGGUCGCUUGCGUCCGACUGCUGAAACUUGAUUAAACCAUAUCAUUUAGAGGAAGGUGANGUCGUAACA